RNAcentral lists this ribosomal RNA (367 nucleotides) under uncultured organism. RNAcentral describes it as "bacterial SSU rRNA". It matches the Rfam family "Bacterial small subunit ribosomal RNA", at positions 526 to 896 of the family's 1533-position model. The record is from RNAcentral.
CGGAGGAUCCGAGCGUUAUCCGGAUUUAUUGGGUUUAAAGGGUGCGUAGGCGGCCUGUUAAGUCAGGGGUGAAAGACGGUAGCUCAACUAUCGCAGUGCCCUUGAUACUGAUGGGCUUGAAUGUACUAGAGGUAGGCGGAAUGUGACAAGUAGCGGUGAAAUGCAUAGAUAUGUCACAGAACACCAAUUGCGAAGGCAGCUUACUAUGGUAUUAUUGACGCUGAGGCACGAAAGCGUGGGGAUCAAACAGGAUUAGAUACCCUGGUAGUCCACGCCCUAAACGAUGAAUACUCGAUGUUAGCGAUAUACAGUUAGCGUCAAAGCGAAAGCGUUAAGUAUUCCACCUGGGGAUACGCCCGCAAGGGUG